UGGCGGUGAGAUACCGGAGUGAUUGUGGCUCCAGAUACAGUGUCUCAGUCACAGGUAUCACCCCAUGCUAGCUCACACUGCUGUUUUAUAUCUCUAACUUUGUACAAUGAGCUCCGGCAUGUUGGGUAACAGUCAGUCUUACAGACAUCCCAACUCUCCCGACGUUCUGGGGGUCUUCCGGCAUUAUAAUAGCGGCUCCCUGACACCUGCAAGUUAUAUACACUAUCCCGGAAACCAC
Pelobates cultripes (western spadefoot toad) is the source of this 238-nucleotide non-coding RNA. The record is from the annotation of a GenBank genome assembly. Lineage: Eukaryota; Metazoa; Chordata; Amphibia; Anura; Pelobatidae.